UGCAUUGUCGGGAGGCAAAGUUUAGCGCGUAGAAUAGCGUCACUGCGAAGCACGGAAGCCGGUGAGAGCCCGGCGCGGUCGCGCCACUGUAAUCGGCAUUCAUGAGCCGAAAGCCAGACCUGAGCUUCGCACCAUCCCUCUUC
Non-coding RNA from Burkholderia sp. ST111, 143 nucleotides. The record is from Rfam. Lineage: Bacteria; Pseudomonadati; Pseudomonadota; Betaproteobacteria; Burkholderiales; Burkholderiaceae.